This 87-nucleotide transfer RNA is filed under the name candidate division NPL-UPA2 bacterium Unc8. Its description in RNAcentral is "tRNA-Leu". It matches the Rfam family "tRNA". From Rfam's summary of the family: Transfer RNA (tRNA) molecules are approximately 80 nucleotides in length. Their secondary structure includes four short double-helical elements and three loops (D, anti-codon, and T loops). Further hydrogen bonds mediate the characteristic L-shaped molecular structure. tRNAs have two regions of fundamental functional importance: the anti-codon, which is responsible for specific mRNA codon recognition, and the 3' end, to which the tRNAs corresponding amino acid is attached (by aminoacyl-tRNA synthetases). tRNAs cope with the degeneracy of the genetic code in two manners: having more than one tRNA (with a specific anti-codon) for a particular amino acid; and 'wobble' base-pairing, i.e. permitting non-standard base-pairing at the 3rd anti-codon position. The record is from RNAcentral.
GCCGGGGUGGCGGAACAGGAAGACGCGACGGACUUAAAAUCCGUUGGAGGCAUUCCCUCCAUGCCGGUUCGAUUCCGGCCCUCGGCA